RNAcentral lists this ribosomal RNA (441 nucleotides) under uncultured bacterium. RNAcentral describes it as "partial 16S ribosomal RNA". It matches the Rfam family "Bacterial small subunit ribosomal RNA", at positions 338 to 795 of the family's 1533-position model. The record is from RNAcentral.
CCUACGGGUGGCAGCAGUGGGGAAUAUUGCACAAUGGGGGAAACCCUGAUGCAGCGACGCCGCGUGAGUGAAGAAGUAUUUCGGUAUGUAAAGCACUAUCAGCAGGGAAGAAGGAAGACGGUACCUGACUAAUAAGCCCCGGCUAACUACGUGCCAGCAGCCGCGGCAAAAGGGAGGGGGCAAGCGGUAAUCGGAUUUACUGGGUGUAAAGGGAGCGUAGGCGGCUGGGCAAGUCUGAAGUGAAAGCCCAGGGCUCAACCCUGGGACUGCUUUGGAUACUGGGGAGCUAGAGUGCUGGAGAGGUAAGUAGAAUUCCUGGUGUAGCGGUGAAAUGCGUAGAUAUUAGGAGGAACACCAGUGGCGAAGGCGGCCUCCUGGACGGUAACUGACGUUGAGGCGCGAAAGCGUGGGGAGCAAACAGGAUUAGAUACCCCUGUAGUC